This 253-nucleotide ribosomal RNA is filed under the name uncultured bacterium. RNAcentral describes it as "partial 16S ribosomal RNA". It matches the Rfam family "Bacterial small subunit ribosomal RNA", at positions 524 to 776 of the family's 1533-position model. The record is from RNAcentral.
CACGUAGGGCGCAAGCGUUGUCCGGAAUUAUUGGGCGUAAAGAGCUCGUAGGCGGUCUGUUGCGUCUGCUGUGAAAACCCGGGGCUUAACCCCUGGCUUGCAGUGGAUACGGACAGACUAGAGGUAGGUAGGGGAGAAUGGAAUUCCCGGUGUAGCGGUGAAAUGCGCAGAUAUCGGGAGGAACACCGGUGGCGAAGGCGGUUCUCUGGGCCUUACCUGACGCUGAGGAGCGAAAGCCAGGGGAGCAAACGGG